RNAcentral lists this long non-coding RNA (478 nucleotides) under Physcomitrium patens. Its description in RNAcentral is "long non-coding RNA (PPAT_LNC002595)". Lineage: Eukaryota; Viridiplantae; Streptophyta; Bryopsida; Funariales; Funariaceae. The record is from RNAcentral.
AGAGUUUGGAACAAGAGGAGGGGAAUGAGGUGGGUGGAGAUAAUGGCCAUAUUUGUAAUGGUAGUUUCUAGAGAUGAUCCAUUAUUUUUAAUGAUGGUUACAAUAGGGUGGGUUGAUUUAGUAAAUAGGUGGGCUAUUUUAACAUUUUUCUAUAUUUAAUAACCUAUGUUAAAAGAAUACAUCUUUAUUUUUAGAAAGUAAACCACCAAUAAAAAAAGAUUGUAUUACAAUUAAUCUCAACAAAAAUAAGAAGAAGCCAACAAUUGCCAUAGAAAAGUGUAACAAAGAAGCUUCGUACUCUCCAAACCCUAAACUUCUCUCUCCAAAGUCAUGAACAAGGACAACACGCACACUAAAAAAUUACAAACAUCUUCUGGAACAGCCAAAGUUCUCAACGAAGUUACUUUUUAUGAAAAAAAUUCAAUAGAAUUACUUGUCCAAUGCCCCCCCCCCCCCCUCCUUUUUUAAAAAAAAAAAU